AGUGAACGCUGGCGGUAGGCCUAACACAUGCAAGUCGAACGGCAGCACAGUAAGAGCUUGCUCUUACGGGUGGCGAGUGGCGGACGGGUGAGGAAUACAUCGGAAUCUACUUUUUCGUGGGGGAUAACGUAGGGAAACUUACGCUAAUACCGCAUACGACCUACGGGUGAAAGCAGGGGAUCUUCGGACCUUGCGCGAUUGAAUGAGCCGAUGUCGGAUUAGCUAGUUGGCGGGGUAAAGGACCACCAAGGCGACGAUCCGUAGCUGGUCUGAGAGGAUGAUCAGCCACACUGGAACUGAGACACGGUCCAGACUACUACGGGAGGCAGCAGUGGGGAAUAUUGGACAAUGGGCGCAAGCCUGAUCCAGCCAUACCGCGUGGGUGAAGAAGGCCUUCGGGUUGUAAAGCCCUUCUGUUGGGAAAGAAAAGCAGCAGGUUAAUACCCCGCUGUUCUGACGGUACCCAAAGAAUAAGCACCGGCUAACUUCGUG
This 492-nucleotide ribosomal RNA is filed under the name uncultured bacterium. RNAcentral describes it as "partial 16S ribosomal RNA". It matches the Rfam family "Bacterial small subunit ribosomal RNA", at positions 29 to 507 of the family's 1533-position model. The record is from RNAcentral.